Molecule: long non-coding RNA, 251 nt
Organism: Pezoporus flaviventris
Lineage: Eukaryota; Metazoa; Chordata; Aves; Psittaciformes; Psittacidae
Exons: 2
Source: RefSeq, a predicted model, not a curated record
CCUGUCCGGGGAUGCCAGUCUUCGGUGUCUUCAAUCAGUCGCUUCUUGCUGGCAUCGCUGUGGGUGGGUGUGUGGUAAAACUCUGUGUAGGUAUCCACAAUGUGCUUCCGCGGGGGACUUGCUGUCGAUACUAACUUUAUCAUUGUUGUUAUCUGCAAGGGAAAAAAAAAGUAUUUGAUGUGUUAACACAUUCUUUGCUCCUUGAAAUAUUACAGGAGUUUCCAAAUCCAAGAUCUGGUAAGGCCAUAUAC